RNAcentral lists this ribosomal RNA (463 nucleotides) under uncultured bacterium. RNAcentral's name for it is "partial 16S ribosomal RNA". It matches the Rfam family "Bacterial small subunit ribosomal RNA", at positions 28 to 507 of the family's 1533-position model. The record is from RNAcentral.
GACGAACGCUGGCGGCGUGCUUAACACAUGCAAGUCGAACGGUGAACCUCUUCGGAGGGGAUCAGUGGCGAACGGGUGAGUAACACGUGGGCAACCUGCCCCCGGCUCUGGGAUAACUCCAAGAAAUUGGGGCUAAUACCGGAUGUUCACCGCUUCCCGCAUGGGUGGUGGUGGAAAGGGUUUCCGGCUGGGGAUGGGCCCGCGGCCUAUCAGCUUGUUGGUGGGGUAGUGGCCUACCAAGGCGACGACGGGUAGCCGGCCUGAGAGGGUGACCGGCCACACUGGGACUGAGACACGGCCCAGACGCCUACGGGAGGCAGCAGUGGGGAAUAUUGCGCAAUGGGCGGAAGCCUGACGCAGCGACGCCGCGUGGGGGAUGACGGCCUUCGGGUUGUAAACCUCUUUCAGCAGGGACGAAGCGCAAGUGACGGUACCUGCAGAAGAAGCACCGGCUAACUACGUG